This 472-nucleotide ribosomal RNA is filed under the name uncultured bacterium. RNAcentral's name for it is "bacterial SSU rRNA". It matches the Rfam family "Bacterial small subunit ribosomal RNA", at positions 355 to 825 of the family's 1533-position model. The record is from RNAcentral.
UGGGGAAUUUUGGACAAUGGGGGAAACCCUGAUCCAGCCAUCCCGCGUGUGCGAUGAAGGCCUUCGGGUUGUAAAGCACUUUUGGCAGGAAAGAAACGUCAUGGGUUAAUACCCCGUGAAACUGACGGUACCUGCAGAAUAAGCACCGGCUAACUACGUGCCAGCAGCCGCGGUAAUACGUAGGGUGCAAGCGUUAAUCGGAAUUACUGGGCGUAAAGCGUGCGCAGGCGGUUCGGAAAGAAAGAUGUGAAAUCCCAGAGCUUAACUUUGGAACUGCGUUUUAACUACCGGGCUAGAGUGUGUCAGAGGGAGGUGGAAUUCCGUGUGUAGCAGUGAAAUGCGUAGAUAUGCGGAGGAACACCGAUGGCGAAGGCAGCCUCCUGGGAUAACACUGACGCUCAUGCACGAAAGCGUGGGGAGCAAACAGGAUUAGAUACCCCCGUAGUCCCCUGAGCGGGCUGGCAAGGCGCAU